RNAcentral lists this ribosomal RNA (253 nucleotides) under uncultured bacterium. RNAcentral's name for it is "partial 16S ribosomal RNA". It matches the Rfam family "Bacterial small subunit ribosomal RNA", at positions 524 to 776 of the family's 1533-position model. The record is from RNAcentral.
UACGAAGGGGGCUAGCGUUGCUCGGAAUCACUGGGUGUAAAGGGUGCGUAGGCGGCGCGGUAAGUCGGGUGUGAAAUCUCGGAGCUUAACUCCGAAACUGCAUUCGAUACUGCCGUGCUUGAGGACUGGAGAGGAGACUGGAAUUUACGGUGUAGCGGUGAAAUGCGUAGAUAUCGUAAGGAAGACCAGUGGCGAAGGCGGGUCUCUGGACAGUUCCUGACGCUGAGGCACGAAGGCCAGGGGAGCAAACGGG